AACGAACGCUGGCGGCAUGCCUAACACAUGCAAGUCGAACGAGACCUUCGGGUCUAGUGGCGAACGGGUGCGUAACGCGUGGGAACCUGCCCUUAGGUUCGGAAUAACUCCCCGAAAGGGGUGCUAAUACCGGAUAAUGUCUUCGGACCAAAGAUUUAUCGCCUUUGGAUGGGCCCGCGUUGGAUUAGCUAGUUGGUAGGGUAAAAGCCUACCAAGGCGACGAUCCAUAGCUGGUCGGAGAGGAUGAUCAGCCACACUGGGACUGAGACACGGCCCAGACUCCUACGGGAGGCAGCAGUGGGGAAUAUUGGACAAUGGGCGAAAGACUGAUACAGCAAUGCCGCGUGAGUGAUGAAGGCCUUAGGGUUGUAAAGCUCUUUUACCCGGGAUGAUAAUGACAGUACCGGGAGAAUAAGCUCCGGCUAACUCCGUG
RNAcentral lists this ribosomal RNA (433 nucleotides) under uncultured bacterium. RNAcentral's name for it is "partial 16S ribosomal RNA". It matches the Rfam family "Bacterial small subunit ribosomal RNA", at positions 29 to 507 of the family's 1533-position model. The record is from RNAcentral.